GCGCACGGGUGAGUAACGCGUAAAGAACUUGCCUCUUAGACCGGGACAACAUCUGGAAACGGAUGCUAAUACCGGGUAUUAUGGUUUUUUCGCAUGGAGGAAUCAUGAAAGCUAGAUGCGCUAAGAGAGAGCUUUGCGUCCCAUUAGCUGGUUGGUGAGGUAACGGCCCACCAAGGCAAUGAUGGGUAGCCGGCCUGAGAGGGUGAACGGCCACAAGGGGACUGAGACACGGCCCUUACUCCUACGGGAGGCAGCAGUGGGGAAUAUUGGACAAUGGACCGCAAGUCUGAUCCAGCAAUUCUGUGUGCACGAUGACGUUUUUCGGAAUGUAAAGUGCUUUCAGUCGGGAAGAAGUCAGUGACGGUACCGACAGAAGAAGCGACGGCUAAAUACGUGCCAGCAGCCGCGGUAAUACGUAUGUCGCAAGCGUUAUCCGGAUUUAUUGGGCGUAAAGCGCGUCUAGGCGGCAAGGAAAGUCUGAUGUGAAAAUGCGGAGCUCAACUCCGUAUGGCGUUGGAAACUGCCUUACUAGAGUACUGGAGAGGUAGGCGGAACUACAAGUGUAGAGGUGAAAUUCGUAGAUAUUUGUAGGAAUGCCGAUGGGGAAGCCAGCCUACUGGACAGAUACUGACGCUAAAGCGCGAAAGCGUGGGUAGCAAACAGG
Molecule: ribosomal RNA, 664 nt
Filed under: uncultured Fusobacteriota bacterium
Lineage: Bacteria; Fusobacteriati; Fusobacteriota
Description: bacterial SSU rRNA
Rfam family: Bacterial small subunit ribosomal RNA
Source: RNAcentral